AACGAACGCUGGCGGCAUGCCUAACACAUGCAAGUCGAACGAGACCUUCGGGUCUAGUGGCGCACGGGUGCGUAACGCGUGGGAACCUGCCCUUAGGUUCGGAAUAACUCCCCGAAAGGGGUGCUAAUACCUGAUAAUGUCUUCGGACCAAAGAUUUAUCGCCUUUGGAUGGGCCCGCGUUGGAUUAGCUAGUUGGUAGGGUAAAAGCCUACCAAGGCGACGAUCCAUAGCUGGUCUGAGAGGAUGAUCAGCCACACUGGGACUGAGACACGGCCCAGACUCCUACGGGAGGCAGCAGUGGGAAAUAUUGGACAAUGGGCGAAAGCCUGAUCCAGCAAUGCCGCGUGAGUGAUGAAGGCCUUAGGGUUGUAAAGCUCUUUUACCCGGGAUGAUAAUGACAGUACCGGGAGAAUAAGCUCCGGCUAACUCCGUG
This 433-nucleotide ribosomal RNA is filed under the name uncultured bacterium. Its description in RNAcentral is "partial 16S ribosomal RNA". It matches the Rfam family "Bacterial small subunit ribosomal RNA", at positions 29 to 507 of the family's 1533-position model. The record is from RNAcentral.